GCCUCCUUAGCUCAGCGGUAGAGCAGCUGAUUCGUAAUCAGCAGGUCGAGGGUUCAAAUCCUUGGGAGGCU
This 71-nucleotide transfer RNA is filed under the name Sphingobacteriales bacterium. RNAcentral's name for it is "tRNA-Thr". It matches the Rfam family "tRNA". From Rfam's summary of the family: Transfer RNA (tRNA) molecules are approximately 80 nucleotides in length. The record is from RNAcentral. Lineage: Bacteria; Pseudomonadati; Bacteroidota; Sphingobacteriia; Sphingobacteriales.